GAUGAACGCUGGCGGCGUGCCUAAUACAUGCAAGUCGAGCGAACAGAUAAGGAGCUUGCUCCUUUGACGUUAGCGGCGGACGGGUGAGUAACACGUGGGUAACCUACCUAUAAGACUGGAAUAACUCCGGGAAACCGGGGCUAAUGCCGGAUAACAUUUAGAACCGCAUGGUUCUAAAGUGAAAGAUGGUUUUGCUAUCACUUAUAGAUGGACACGCGCCGUAUUAGCUAGUUGGUAAGGUAAUGGCUUACCAAGGCAACGAUACGUAGCCGACCUGAGAGGGUGAUCGGCCACACUGGAACUGAGACACGGUCCAGACUCCUACGGGAGGCAGCAGUAGGGGAUCUUCCGCAAUGGGCGAAAGCCUGACGGAGCAACGCCGCGUGAGUGAUGAAGGGUUUCGGCUCGUAAAACUCUGUUAUUAGGGAAGAACAAACGUGUAAGUAACUGUGCACGUCUUGACGGUACCUAAUCAGAAAGCCACGGCUAACUACAUGCCAGCCGCCGCCGUAA
Molecule: ribosomal RNA, 513 nt
Filed under: uncultured bacterium
Lineage: Bacteria
Description: partial 16S ribosomal RNA
Rfam family: Bacterial small subunit ribosomal RNA
Source: RNAcentral